UGUUUUUAUGAUGAAGCUUUAAACAUUCUUGAUAGGAAGAGUAUGAUACAUAAUGAGUACAUUUUACUAAACUGAUUUUAAU
Small nucleolar RNA from Teleopsis dalmanni, 82 nucleotides. RefSeq annotates it as small nucleolar RNA Me28S-U3344. The record is from RefSeq and is a predicted model, not a curated record. Lineage: Eukaryota; Metazoa; Arthropoda; Insecta; Diptera; Diopsidae. The transcript has a single exon.